This is a non-coding RNA of Triticum urartu, 1435 nucleotides long. Lineage: Eukaryota; Viridiplantae; Streptophyta; Magnoliopsida; Poales; Poaceae. The record is from RefSeq and is a predicted model, not a curated record.
UCCUUCAUUUAGAAGAUUAUCAAAGAGAAAGUACAUCCAUGAUGUGCCGGAUGUCUUUAUCCUCAGUUACAUAAUUAUGAAUGAUUGAUGUCUGAUAAUAAACUAGCUAACCAACCAUAGGGGUGUCGGCAACAGUGACGAAGAUUUGGACACGGUUGGGCCUUAAGUCCUGGGUCACCCACGUAUCGACUGGCAGGACCUCUAUCUCAGCAUCAGGCUUGUCCUUGAGGAUGAUCUCCUUGGCCUUCUCAACAGACAUCUCGACGACCUCUGGCCACGACAUCUUCACACGGCUGGCUGCUGUGCCCCCUCCCGCAGGCUCUGGAUACUUCACGGUGCUUUAUCCAUGGAACUCAUGUUCUACAGUGAACUCUUGGAUCAAGAAAAUUAAAGCGGUAAGCAUGAUAUAACCCCUGAGGAAAAAUUGGUAAACAAAGGAGCACAAGUCAGUACAACUCACCUGAAGAAUUGAUUAAAUGUUUGUAGCUAAGUAAGAAGAUGUUGAUGGUAUAGCAUCCCCUUAUCUUGUGCGGCAUUUAUUAUCCGGUCCUCAAUAUAAGCCUUUUUAGAGAUUCCAAUGCAUUCUACAUAUGAAGCAAAGUGAGUGAAUCUACACUGUUAAAUGUGUCUAUAUACAUUCGUGUAUAGUCCACAUUGAAAUCUCUAAAACGGAAGGAUUAGCUAGUUAACUAAGUUGAGGAGCACUACAACUGCAGAAAACGGCUAUGGUUCAUUGAGCUCCUAGCUACAAGUCGAUGGACCUGUGAAUCACGUGGUACGCUCUCGUCCUCCUUAGCAUCCGUACGUGUUAUCCAUCACGAAAUCCAGUCCGGCCAAUCAGCAUCUUAUCUCGUGUAUCACGCGCCUUCCACUGGGUACAUGCAUGCAUGUGAGGGCAUGCACCUUCUGUGCACAUAACACAGUGCCGCAUAUAUCGAUCUCCCCUAUAAGUAGACAUCCAUGCAAUGCGUUUAUGCAGCAUCAAGAUACCAACUAAGUUGAGAAGAUUAAGUAAUAGGCUUGCUUUUGUGCAUCAAGAUACCAUCCAUUCAGCCGGCUGGUCCAUCAACGAUGAGCUCCACAGAUGCCCCAGUUGGCACUGGAGGCCUCGCCGGCGAGUCGUGGCAGAAGUCAUGGCCAGAGGCGGUGGGCAAGUCCAUAAAGGAGGCCAGGGAGAUCAUACUCAAAGAUAAGCCCGACGCCGACAUCGUCGUGCUGCCAGCCGGGUCGCCGGUGACCCGGGACUUGAGGCCCAACCGCGUGCGCAUCUUCGUCGAUACCGUCGCCGACACACCCUUUACUGGCUAGCUCUAGCUUUGCAGGCCCGAAGGAAUGCAUGCCUGCGCCAUGCAUGCAUGCAUGCGCGUGAAUAAGUUUUUAGUAAUGGAUGAAUAAAUGCUAGCACGUGUCCGCUGGAUCCACUAGCUUUCAGUUC